CGGCGGCAACAUGGCGGACGUGAUAAAUGUCAGUGUGAACCUGGAGGCCUUUUCCCAGGCCAUUAGUGCCAUCCAGGCGCUGCGCUCCAGCGUGAGCAGGUUGUUCGACUGCCUGAAGGAUGGGAUGCGGAACAAGGAGACGCUGGAGGGCCGGGAGAAGGCCUUCAUUGCGCACUUCCAGGACAACUUACAUUCGGUCAACCGGGACCUCAAUGAGCUGGAACGUCUGAGCAAUCUGGUAGGCAAGCCAUCUGAGAACCAUCCUCUUCAUAACAGUGGGCUGUUAAGCCUGGAUCCUGUGCAGGACAAAACUCCUCUCUAUAGUCAACUCCUUCAAGCAUAUAAGUGGUCAAACAAGUUGCAGUACCAUGCAGGACUAGCAUCUGGCCUUUUAAAUCAGUAGUCGUUGAAGCGUUCCGCUAAUCAGAUGGGAGUAUCUGCCAAAAGUAGACCAAAGGCUCAGCCCACAACUCUUGUCCUACCACCUCAAUAUGUUGAUGAUGUGAUCAGCCGCAUUGACAGGAUGUUUCCUGAAAUGUCCAUCCACUUAUCCAGACCCAAUGGAACAUCAGCAAUGCUUCUGGUGACCUUGGGAAAGGUGUUGAAAGUGAUCGUCAUCAUGCGGAGCCUGUUCAUUGAUCGAACAAUAGUAAAGGGAUAUAACGAGAAUGUCUACACAGAAGAUGGCAAGCUUGAUAUAUGGUCCAAAUCCAACUAUCAAGUAUUCCAGAAGGUGACAGACCACGCCACCACGGCCCUGCUCCACUAUCAGCUGCCCCAGAUGCCGGAUGUCGUAGUCCGAUCCUUCAUGACCUGGUUAAGAAGUUACAUAAAGCUGUUCCAGGCCCCAUGCCAGCACUGCGGGAAGUUUCUGCAGGACGGCCUUCCCCCGACAUGGAGGGAUUUCCGAACCCUCGAAGCCUUCCAUGACACCUGCCGGCAGUAAGCCCCCACGCUGGCCCCAGCGUGAGACCCCACCCGGCAACUUCCCAGACACUCAGGAAGCCCACAGAAGGCUCAGCUGGUUCCUCACUGCCCAGAUGUGUACAGCCGCUCCUCCCUUUCAGCGCCAUGUGUGCUGAGGCCACUCUUGAGGAGCAGACCCCCCCUGUGGCUGAUGAGACUAAUUAUUCCCACUAGCCAGUGGACUGAAGGCAAAGAAGACUUUUCUAGAACCUGAUAGAAGGAAGCUGUGCAGCAUGCUCCUCGUCCGUGUGUGUCGGCAGUGCUGGUGUCUUGUCGUUUCCGCGAGCUAUUACUAGAAUGAGCCCUUGUGUUCAUGGGUAUCGUCAUGCGGGGUUCUUGUGUUUUGUGGGGCUUGGGGUUUGGUAACUUAUUUUUAUAAGCAAUAAACCUUUUGUA
Molecule: RNA transcript, 1362 nt
Organism: Homo sapiens (human)
Lineage: Eukaryota; Metazoa; Chordata; Mammalia; Primates; Hominidae
Gene: CRSP8P
Gene name: mediator complex subunit 27 pseudogene
Exons: 1
Source: RefSeq, marked provisional